CUACGGGCCGCAGCAGUCGCGAAAACUCCGCAAUGCACGAAAGUGUGACGGGGCUACCCCGAGUGCCAUCCGCUGAGGAUGGCUUUUCUUUGGUAUAACUAGCCAUUGGAAUAAGGAGAGGGCAAGACUGGUGUCAGCGGCCGCGGUAAUACCAGCUCUCCGAGUGGUAGGGAUGAUUAUUGGGCUUAAAGCGUCCGUAGCCGGCUUAGCAAGUUUCCUGUUAAACUCAGCGACUCAAUCGUUGGAUCGCGGGAAAUACUACUAGGCUAGGAGGCGGGAGAGGUCAACGGUACUUCUGGGGUAGGGGUGAAAUCCUAUAAUCCCGGGAGGACCACCAGUGGCGAAGGCUGUUGACUAGAACGCGCUCGACGGUGAGGGACGAAAGCUGGGGUAGCAAACCGGAUUAGAUACCCUAGUAGUC
This 421-nucleotide ribosomal RNA is filed under the name uncultured archaeon. RNAcentral's name for it is "partial 16S ribosomal RNA". It matches the Rfam family "Archaeal small subunit ribosomal RNA", at positions 323 to 746 of the family's 1478-position model. The record is from RNAcentral.